UACCAGCUGGCUGCAACUGUUUAUUAAAAACACAGCACUGUGCAAACACGAAAGUGGACGUAUACGGUGUGACGCCUGCCCGGUGCCGGAAGGUUAAUUGAUGGGGUCAGCGCAAGCGAAGCUCCUGAUCGAAGCCCCGGUAAACGGCGGCCGUAACUAUAACGGUCCUAAGGUAGCGAAAUUCCUUGUCGGGUAAGUUCCGACCUGCACGAAUGGCGUAAUGAUGGCCAGGCUGUCUCCACCCGAGACUCAGUGAAAUUGAACUCGCUGUGAAGAUGCAGUGUACCCGCGGCAAGACGGAAAGACCCCGUGAACCUUUACUAUAGCUUGACACUGAACAUUGAGCCUUGAUGUGUAGGAUAGGUGGGAGGCUUUGAAGUGUGGACGCCAGUCUGCAUGGAGCCGACCUUGAAAUACCACCCUUUAAUGUUUGAUGUUCUAACGUGGACCCGUAAUCCGGGUUGCGGACAGUGUCUGGUGGGUAGUUUGACUGGGGCGGUCUCCUCCUAAAGAGUAACGGAGGAGCACGAAGGUUGGCUAAUCCUGGUCGGACAUCAGGAGGUUAGUGCAAUGGCAUAAGCCAGCUUGACUGCGAGCGUGACGGCGCGAGCAGGUGCGAAAGCAGGUCAUAGUGAUCCGGUGGUUCUGAAUGGAAGGGCCAUCGCUCAACGGAUAAAAGGUACUCCGGGGAUAACAGGCUGAUACCGCCCAAGAGUUCAUAUCGACGGCGGUGUUUGGCACCUCGAUGUCGGCUCAUCACAUCCUGGGGCUGAAGUAGGUCCCAAGGGUAUGGCUGUUCGCCAUUUAAAGUGGUACGCGAGCUGGGUUUAGAACGUCGUGAGACAGUUCGGUCCCUAUCUGCCGUGGGCGCUGGAGAACUGAGGGGGGCUGCUCCUAGUACGAGAGGACCGGAGUGGACGCAUCACUGGUGUUCGGGUUGUCAUGCCAAUGGCACUGCCCGGUAGCUAAAUGCGGAAGAGAUAAGUGCUGAAAGCAUCUAAGCACGAAACUUGCCCCGAGAUGAGUUCUCCCUGAGACUUUAGGUCUCCUGAAGGAACGUUGAAGACGACGACGUUGAUAGGCCGGGUGUGUAAGCGCAGCGAUGCGUUGAGCUAACCGGUACUAAUGAACCGUGAGGCUUAACCUUACAACGCCGAAG
RNAcentral lists this ribosomal RNA (1159 nucleotides) under Salmonella enterica subsp. enterica serovar Oranienburg. Its description in RNAcentral is "partial 23S ribosomal RNA". It matches the Rfam family "Bacterial large subunit ribosomal RNA", at positions 1783 to 2925 of the family's 2925-position model. RNAcentral also lists the same sequence under 7 other names. The record is from RNAcentral. Lineage: Bacteria; Pseudomonadati; Pseudomonadota; Gammaproteobacteria; Enterobacterales; Enterobacteriaceae.